Molecule: microRNA precursor, 104 nt
Filed under: Podarcis lilfordi (Lilford's wall lizard)
Lineage: Eukaryota; Metazoa; Chordata; Lepidosauria; Squamata; Lacertidae
Source: RNAcentral
UGGGUCUUCAGCUGUUUUUGGACUACAUAUCCCAUCAUCACUGACCAAUGGUCCUGCUAGCUAGGGAUGGUGGGAGUUGUAGUCCUAAAACAGCUGGAGACCCA